AUUUUUUCCUCAUUUUAAAUAUGGAAAAAUGUGGAAAAAAAUACGGAGAGAAUUAACAAUACGGAAAAGCAGAAAAUAUAUGGAAAUAAUCCGGAAAAUGUAUGGAAAUAAUACGGAGAAUUGGACUUAGUCUAUUUUUCAUCUGGAAAAAUAUUGAACUCUUAACUUAGAAUAUUUUUCAUCUGGAAAAAAUACGGAGCUCUGGACUUAGAAUUUUUUUUAUCAAGAACAAGAUGUGUUUGUUAAACAUGGUAGCGCCUGGCAGCAACAAACUUCUAAAAAGCAAUUUUUAGCAAAUGGGUUUCAGUCAAGGUCACAAGGUCAUUGACCUUGGUGUCAUUUGAAAGCACUUAUUUAGUGGAGUAUGCAUACACACCAAAUAUUAAGUCUCUAUCAUCUAUGGUUCAAAAGUUAUGGUGAAAAUUCGAAAAAAGCUAUUUUUAGCACAAAGGUCACAGUCAAGGUCACAAGGUCAUUGCCCUUGGUGUCAGUUGAAAGUGCUUCUGCAGUGGAGUAUGCAUACCAAAUAUGAAGUCUCUAUCUCUCACGGUUCAAAAGUUAAUUAUUGCAAAAGUUCGAAAAAGCUAUUUUUAGCAUAUAGGUCACAGUCAAGGUCACAAGGUCAUUGACCUUGGUGUCAGUUGAAAGUGCUUUUGUAGUGGAGUAUGCAUACCAAAUAUGAAGUCUCUAAGUCUUACGGUUCAAAAGUAAUGGCGAAGGUUAAAGUUGACAACAGACAGAAAAACAGACAGACAAACAGCUAAACAGACAGACAAGACAAAAACAAUAUGCGCCCCGAAAAAAUUCGGGCACAUAAAAACUGUCUUGGAGUUAACAACAGUUCUUUGUUUCUCCUGAAUGUUAUGUACAAUUUGAUCGGGAUCGGAAAAAUGUUUCAAAAAGUCGGGCUCAUUGAUCAAUUAAUUUAAACAACAGACCGCCAAAAUUUAACCUUGGCUUCCAUGUUGUAACGUCUGCUCUGUCAAAAGGAGGAAGUUUGUUGACCAGACAGCCCGAGAUCGUAUUGCUGUAUCAACCAAAAGAUGCAGAUACACAUAUUUCAUAUGCGCGUCUGUGCAUAAGGAGGAGAUUUCCUUAAAAAGAAUAAGUGGUUAUUCCUGCGAUUUUAACAGGCUUAAAGCUGGUCCAUGGAUGGUUAUGUAUGAGGAUUUGCCAAUUCAACCGCAAGUACUGCUGCAAGAAAUUAAACAUGCAGUGACCUUACAAAUUACAAAGAAGUCUGAUGACAGGGCUCUCACACCACUUUUUGGGACUGGGGCCGGGGCCGUUCAAAUUGGGAAAAUUAUCGUCAUUUUGGGAAAAGUUGGAUGACCAACAUUCAUUAAAAAAAAAUCUCAAAUUUUGCUUUUCUAGCAUUUUGUCAUCAAUUUAACUCUAGUAUUGAAUAAAUAGGUAAACAUCUAACAAACAUCGAUAUGUAGGCAAUUUAUUGAAAGUACAUUAGCUUUGUCAUAACUAUCUUUGAGUGUUGAUAUUACGGUUAUAUGUCUUUCUGAGUGACAGUCGCUAGUCACAUAGUCCCGAAUUUCCUCGAUUACAUGAUCAUCGUUGCUUACAGCAUGAGACUGAACAUGCUGAAUCUUGGACAUGUUUCUAGGAGCCGCUUACUAAUGUUCAUAUGAAAUGUCUAUUUUUGAAAACUGAAAAUGAUGUUUUUUGUCGAUUUUCAUGACAAGAUACUCUGCAAUCAUAGUUAUACAUUUCUGUAAUAACACUAACCUGGUUCCCCGAACCAGUUUACGAAUGCACUUGGCGCG
Long non-coding RNA from Saccostrea cuccullata (small rock oyster), 1778 nucleotides. RefSeq lists it as uncharacterized. The transcript has 3 exons. The record is from RefSeq and is a predicted model, not a curated record. NCBI's taxonomy places the organism in Eukaryota, Metazoa, Mollusca, Bivalvia, Ostreida, Ostreidae.